CCCUUAGACGCUCUAGGCGGCACGCGCGCUACAAUGGGUGGUAGAACGUGUAACUGCUCCCGAAAGGGAGGGUGAACCACGAAUACUUACCCGUGAAUGGGAUAGUUUGUUGCAAUUUUCGGACUUGAACUAGGAAUCCCUUGUAAGAAUGCUCAAGAAUAGCGUGCUGAAUACGUCCCUGCCGUUUGUACACACCGCCCGUCGUUUCUUCCGACUGAUACUCAUUGUGAGUUGCAAGGAUUCUUAUUGAAAAAUUGCUGCGAAUGCUUCGUAUUGGAGGAAGAAAAAGUCGUAACA
Molecule: ribosomal RNA, 297 nt
Filed under: uncultured eukaryote
Lineage: Eukaryota
Description: partial 18S ribosomal RNA
Rfam family: Eukaryotic small subunit ribosomal RNA
Source: RNAcentral